Papaver somniferum (opium poppy) is the source of this 1095-nucleotide long non-coding RNA. RefSeq lists it as uncharacterized. NCBI's taxonomy places the organism in Eukaryota, Viridiplantae, Streptophyta, Magnoliopsida, Ranunculales, Papaveraceae. The transcript has 2 exons. The record is from RefSeq and is a predicted model, not a curated record.
UAGAUGGAACAUGGUGUUCCAAGCAGGUGUGAGGUUGAUCGAUGAAGGACAAGAUUUUGUUGUAAUUGUACAUUAUGCCGCACACCUAAUGUCUUAUCUAGGCUCUCGGAUGCUGUAAGGGAACUUGGGCCUGGAGAAUCAUCACAUGACAUACAGAAGCUAUGAUGACGAAGCUAGCUACAAGAAAAAGUGGUGUUAGUUUAGGUUGAUUGAAGUUGGCAUGGAAAACCAAGAUUCUUUUCGGAUUUUCCUGUUUACGUUUGAAAUUGAACAUGCAUGCCGCUAAUGUAGUUGGCAUUUUAAUGCAACCACUACCAAGGUACUAUUAGAAAAUGGUUGGAGCUAUCUUUCCUGCCUUCUGUGUGCCAAAAACAUUGUUGGUGACCUUCUUGAAGUGUGCAUCAGAUGUUGAAAUGCUCAUUCCAAGGUAGACGCGCCCUGCACUUUAGCUUUCUUUACCCGACUAUCUUCAUCCAUCCAUUCAUUUGACAUUUCAGUCAAGUCCUUUUUACAGCAAAGGUUUCUACUCCAUUUUAAAGUUGAAGACAUCACCGGCUCGGCAUCUUCGUAGCUCCUGAUAGUGAGGUCUAGAAAUAUGCAGGUAAGUGGUAACCCAACUUUUCUUAUCUUCCCUGAUUACCUUUUGAAUUCCAGCCUGUCGUGUCUCAACCAGCAUACGGUAACCUCACUUCAGCAAUCCACAAUUUCGAAGGAUAUUGCCAAAGAGGCGGUGAUGACAGAAUUCUCGCAGAUCCUCAAUAACACUGGAUUUCAUGAUAAACAACCAGGAGGCCGAAAUAUGGACUGACUGUGGAUUUUAUAAAUGAUUCGCUUCUUACCGACGAUGACUACCAACCAACAAAAACAGGUAAAACUAAGGACAGUACCAAUGGCAAAGCUAUCUUCUUCACAAAUGCUACGGGCUCUACCAAAUUUGUUACUUACGAAGGAAACAAAAGAAAGUUUUAUAUAUCUCUCAGAUAUUUGCGCUCUAUUGAAAGUAGGUCGAGAGAAAUAUUUCUGUUGUAUAGUAUUCCAUGAAGAUUGAAAACUUCAUUAUCUAAUUCAAGGCAUAUAUCUUCAAGUUUUGGAAGC